AUCCUUUUGAGCAGGGGUCCCCCCAACCCCUGGGCAGAGGACCAGUACUGUUCAGCGGCCUGUUAGGAACCAGGCCGCACAGCAGGUGAGCAGGGAGCAAGCAAGCAAAGCUUCAUUUGCUGCUCCCCAUCGCUUGCAUGACUUUCUGAACCAUCCCCGCCCCCCUCGAAAAACUGUCUUCUGCAAAACCAGUCCUGGUGCCAAAAAGGUUGGGGACAGCUGCUUUUGAGUAAAAAACACUAUUGGAUAAAUUGGACUUUUCAUGCUUUUGAAGUAGCUUUGCUAAACUGCUUCCCAGAAAUGUUACGUUGUAGUGAGUAGAAUGAUGGAAAUAGAGUCAAGGGAGUUGAAAGAGCUGCAAGUCUAAAGUGGCAAAAUAGGAAAGGCAGAGGUUAAAUACAUGGCUGAAGGCGUAGUGACUGAGGACCAGGUGAGGUAAGAGAUUUUCAGGCAAGACGGUAUUUUUGCACAUCGGAACCUUGCUUAGGCUGAUAUCCCUCCCAAACCCUCUAGUGUCCUAUUUUUCUCACCCAAAUUACUGUUCUACAUGUUGCUACAAAAUACAGUAGGUAUAUUUGAAGACCUUGGAAGGGAUGUUGUGUUGCUAAGCUUUGCGUUAGGACUUCGCAGUUGCCUACAGUGAGCAUACAAUAAAUCGGAAGUUGAAGCCUUUUCUGUGAUCUUGCGGUGGUACUACAGGGCACAAAAGGGAAGGAAAUCAGUCCGUCCAAAUGUUCACAAGCUAAAGAAGGGGCUUCUAGAAUGGCAGGGUCUCUCGACCCCAACGCCGAGAAAAUUGACUUCUCUUAAUUACCUGGCCCGGCAACACUGGAGCUUCGGCCUCAGGACUAAUUUCUAGGUGGGGCCGCGUAGAGAAGCAGUGCGCACGCGUGCGCAGGGCACGGCCGCCGACGUAAUGCGCGCGGUGCGCGUGCGCAGAGGAUCCGCACGGUGGCGCGUCUCCUCGUGGGGCUCCAGGGGUCGUGUUCUCGGCAUGGGCACCUCGCUGUCGCCGCUGCUGACUCUGCUGUCCCUCCUCUCCGGCCCAUGGCUCGAACUAGGGAAUGGGCAGAUGACCAACAUGGUCCAGCUACCAGGUGGGAGAUUCCAGAUGGGAACGAAUUCACCAGAUGGCAGAGAUGGUGAAGGACCUGUCCGGGAGGUGACGGUAAAACCCUUUGCCAUCGACAUAUUUCCUGUCACCAACAAAGACUUCAGGGAGUUUGUCAGGGAGAAAAAGUACCAGACAGAGGCUGAGGUGUUUGGGUGGAGCUUUGUCUUCGAGGACCUUGUCUCUGAUGAGCUUAGAAACAAAGCAACCCAGAAAAUGCAGUCUCUCCUCUGGUGGCUUCCAGUGGAAAGGGCAUUCUGGAGGCAGGCGCUCUCUUCCCACUUCCUUGCUCCAUCUGUGGUAAAAGCUGAACUCAGGCACCCUAAGCCUAGCCUUCCUCAGACUUCCACGAGCUCCCAGAAGCUUGUCUCACUUCAUCCUGGCUAUCAGCCUGCAGGUCCCGGCUCUGGCAUCCGAGAGAAACUGGAGCUCCCAGUGGUACACGUGAGCUGGAAUGAUGCCCAUGCCUACUGUGCUUGGCGGGGGAAACGGCUGCCCAUUGAAGAAGAGUGGGAGUUUGCUGCCCGAGGGGGCUUGAAGGGUCAGGUUUACCCCUGGGGAAACGAGUUCCAGCCAAACCGCACCAACCUGUGGCAGGGAAAGUUCCCCAAGGGUGACAAGGCUGAGGAUGGCUUCCAUGGAGUCUCCCCGGUGAACGCUUUCCCCCCACAGAACAACUACGGGCUCUUUGACCUCGUGGGCAACGUGUGGGAGUGGACAGCGUCACCAUACCAGCCUGCCGACCAGGACAUGCGUGUCCUCCGGGGGGCGUCCUGGAUCGACACGGCCGAUGGCUCUGCCAAUCACCGGGCCCGGGUCACCACCAGGUGAGGGGCUCGGUAGCUGGGGGCUGAGGGUCUGGGUCCUGGUCUCCCAGAGCACAGGUGGCACCAGAUCUGGCGUGGCCGCCGCUGCCGUGCCUCCCCCUCCACUGGGGGCUGUGGGUACAGAAGAAGAAGCAGGCUACACUUGCCAUAGAAAGCCAAGAGCCCGGGACUGCUGGUGCCUUUUCCUGCCAGCUGUCAGCCCAGAGGCAGACUCUGUGUCCAGCAUCUUAAUUAUGUGGUUUCCCCUCUUGUCCUCCGAGCUAGGCUUGCAGAGAGAGGGAAGUGGAAUGGCCACAUCGAUAGGUCAUGGCCAGGGGUCAUGGAAAUAUUGACUCUUCCAACGAGUGUGCACAUGAAAAGUCAUUUUCUACAACCGUUUUGUCUUACAAUCAAGAAAAACUAGGCUCAGGGAGGUCCUGGAGCCUGCUCAUUUCACACAGAUGGCUAGUGGUGGCACCUGAAUGGUGGAGUCCCCGGCUCCCGAGUCCCCUUCUAGGACCCUCCACCUUGUUCAUCUGUGGAUUUAUUUUGGUUAAUCUCCCUGCAACUCCUCCUGCUCCUGGGUUCCGGAAGGACUGUCGAGAAGCCACUGUUCCUGUGGCCUCAGGGUGUCAGAAUGGGCAAUACUCCAGAUUCAGCCUCAGACAACCUAGGCUUCCGCUGUGCUUCCAGUGCAGGCCGACCACCUGGGGAGCUGUGAGCAGCCACACAGAGAUGAGGAGAGUCCCCCGUGGCACCCGCGGCACUCCCUGGCCACAUGCCAAACACAGCCAAACUCGGGACUGCGUCCAUCCCCUCCCCCCUCCCUGUGGCAGACACCUCUCCCCCGGGCAGGAAAGGACCCUGACCUCCACGGAGGGGCACCACUGUCUCCUGGAGAAGGGGCCCAACUUACUGAUUGUGUCCAGGAGCCGGACGUUUCUCUUAGAGGUCAAAUACUGACCGUAUGGAGGCCACAUACUCAAAACAUUUGGGGCGCAGUGCUCUGAAAGGCAGUUUGUGAAAAUAUUUUAAAUCUGCUCCCUCCAACUUUCUCACUGUCUGACCCGGGGACCUGACAUUGUUUGCUCAAGGCAGAAUUUCCCCAGGUCUCCUUGUUUUCCCAGCAAGUUGCUGUAGAAGGAAAAUGAUUCCUUCAUUUGCCUUAUUUGUGGGGUUUCAUGCACCUCCGAGGGAACCUAGUUUCCACCGUUUGUGAAAUGCAGUUCUGUGGGCUCUUUAAAGCACACUGUCAGUCUUAAAAGGGUCUAGGAGAACGACGGAUUUACCAGGCGCAACUGUGUAUCACGGGAGGCACAGAGUGAAUAAUACUCCACAAAGGCAAACAGCAGAAGCUUUCCUUUCUAUUAUUAAUUAUGUAAGGGCUGCCCUGUGCCUCUAAAAACAUGGCCCCAGAGAAGAACCUGCUCCCGUGCUGUCACUGGACUUUGUGAGGUCAGUAAAGUCUCCUGUGAUUGC
Molecule: RNA transcript, 3396 nt
Organism: Orcinus orca (killer whale)
Lineage: Eukaryota; Metazoa; Chordata; Mammalia; Artiodactyla; Delphinidae
Gene: SUMF2
Gene name: sulfatase modifying factor 2
Exons: 9
Source: RefSeq, a predicted model, not a curated record